This 917-nucleotide ribosomal RNA is filed under the name uncultured archaeon. RNAcentral describes it as "bacterial SSU rRNA". It matches the Rfam family "Archaeal small subunit ribosomal RNA", at positions 29 to 926 of the family's 1478-position model. The record is from RNAcentral.
CCUAUGGGGUGGAUAGGACUGCGAGUCGAGCGUCUCUAGUUAUGGUGAGACGCGGCAGACGGCUCAGUAACACGUGGCUAACCUGCCCUUAGAACAGAGAUACCCCCGGGAAACUGGGGCUAAUCCCUGAUAGGCGUGGGCUCCUAGAAUGGACCUACACUGAAAGGACGUCUGAAUCAUGCUUUAGGCGUCGUCUAAGGAUGAGGCCGCAACCGAUCAGGUUGUUGGCGAGGUAACGGCUCACCAAGCCUAUAACCGGUACGGGCCGCGGGAGCGGUAGCCCGGAGAUGGACACUGAGACAAGGGUCCAGGCCCUACGGGGCGCAGCAGUUACGAAAACUCCGCAAUGCACGAAAGUGUGACGGGGCUAUCCCGAGUGCCGUCCGCUGAGGAUGGCUUUUCUCCAGUUUAAGGAGCUGGAGGAAUAAGGAGAGGGCAAGUCUGGUGUCAGCCGCCGCGGUAAUACCAGCUCUCCGAGUGGUAGGGACGAUUAUUGGGCUUAAAGCGUCCGUAGCCGGCUCAGCAAGUCCUUCGUUAAAUCCAGCGAUUCAAUCGUUGGACUGCGGGGGAUACUGCUGGGCUAGGGGACGAGAGAGGCCGACGGUAUUCUCGGAGUAGGGGUGAAAUCCUAUAAUUCCGGGAGGACCACCAGUGGCGAAGGCUGUCGGCUAGAACGAGCUCGACGGUGAGGGACGAAAGCUGGGGGAGCGAACCGGAUUAGAUACCCGGGUAGUCCCAGCUGUAAACGAUGCGGGCUAGGUGUUAGGGUGGCUACGUGCCACUCUAGUGCCGCAGCGAAAGCAUUAAGCCCGCCGCCUGGGGGAGUACGGCCGCAAGGCUGAAACUUAAAGGAAUUGGCGGGGGAGCACCACAAAGGCGUGAAGCGUGCGGUUUAAUUGGAGUCAACGCCGGGAAUC